Long non-coding RNA from Mugil cephalus (flathead mullet), 1229 nucleotides. RefSeq lists it as uncharacterized. The transcript has 3 exons. NCBI's taxonomy places the organism in Eukaryota, Metazoa, Chordata, Actinopteri, Mugiliformes, Mugilidae. The record is from RefSeq and is a predicted model, not a curated record.
UGGAGGGAACGUUACAGCCGAGCACGAGGUAAUGCUACCUGAGCUAACUUGCUAGCUAAAACCGCUAACAGCAUGGACGAACUUGAUGACGCCACGGUGUCGCCUUUAGGAGGAACAAAAGGAGGAAAAGUCAUCUCACCUCCUGCUUUUAAAGUCUUGGUGACAUCAUCAAGGAGGUUGCCAGAUUCAACCAUUCAUGGAGGGUGUUUGGGUAUUAUGUUAUGGUUUAUCAUUGUGUUGAUUUUUUUCAAGGUGAAAUGGGACAAAAGAGGUAGAGCUUAAGGUUAAUAUCAAUGUCUUCUUCAUGUUAGAUAAAUUGAUAACUUUCCACUUACUUGUUGUUUCAAAGGAAAAGGAAAUGUACCUGCUUAAUGGUACUUCCCAAUUGGAGGCUGGUUUAGUGCUGAUGGACAGCAUUAUUUAAACAGUGGCUUGAUGGCCCUUGAGGAGGACAGAACUAAGGUGUAGCUGUAUACAUGUUAUGUUAGUUCAUGUUGGUAUGAGUUCAGCUUUAUUCAGUCAAGCUGUGUUAACUGUUUAUUUUUGUGUACAUUUUUGUAGAUAUUUUCUUUUGGUUUUUGUGUACACAGAGACACCUAUAAAUAAAUGCACUUCAGGAUGGAACAAGUUGGGUCUGCCUCCUAAAUUAAAUUCCUUCUGCUCUGGCCAGGCUACACCACAAGGUGGUUGUCUUAAAUCUAGAACAGUAUCACUAUUGUAGAGGUUACAGUAAGUUUAAUGCACUUGAAUUGAGAUAUUACACUUCACUUCAAAUAAAUGUUGUUAACAAUAUUCUCUGUAUGAUUUUAAAUGUAUUGAUUAAGAUAAAAGCUAAUCAUAACUGUUACGUGCCGUGUGGUUUCCGUGUUUCUUUUCCUUUUCUUUAGGGCUUUAAGUCUAUAUCUCCUCAAACCAAGUAUUUAUUUCUUGUUUCUUAAGACUAUUCAUUUUUGUAGUGUGUCCUGUAUCCUCUAUGUAAGUGCCAGAGGUUGCUGUUUAGUUUGUUACUUCUGGGGAGGAGUCACAAGGUGGUGGUAUGUCAGCAGGAAGUAAAAUCAGCUGUUCUUCACCUGGUGAUUUGAUGAAUGAACUGAGAAGGUGAGGGGGGAAGUCCUACUUUGCUGACCGCUGAAUGUAAAGAUAAAGGCACUGUUUCAGAUGUUUUUAGUAUUGUGGAAACCUUUCACUGUUUGUGUUUUUUAGCAUCAAUAAAUGUGCACUGAUCAGUA